UGAGAUUCAACUCCUCUGACUUU
RNAcentral lists this microRNA (23 nucleotides) under Eisenia fetida (common brandling worm). RNAcentral describes it as "Efe-Mir-1175-P1_3p (mature (guide))". The record is from RNAcentral. Lineage: Eukaryota; Metazoa; Annelida; Clitellata; Crassiclitellata; Lumbricidae.